GAUGCGCUCGGCGCUCUGGCGCCGCUCGGUGUUCGGUUGCCCCCUGUGGCGAGCGAGUGACGGGAGGGACCUGGUCCCAGCCCGUUCACCCCCCGCCGGCGACAUGUCCACCGCCAUGAACUUCAGCAGCAAAAGCUUCAAGCCGCGGCCGCCGGACAAGGGCGCCUUCCCGCUGGAUCAUUUCGGGGAGUGCAGCGCCUUCAAGGAGCGGUUCAUGGAGUGCCUCCGCGACAGCGGCUACGAGAGCGGUGCCUGCCGGCAGCGCGCCAUGGCCUACCUGGAGUGCCGCAUGGAGAGGCAACUUAUGGCUAAUGAACCACUGGAAAAAUUGGGAUUUAAAGACCUGAUUGAUGAGAAAUCAGAAGCAAAACAAGAAAAGUUGUGAUGAAGACGGACAUCUUCACUCCUCAUCCUACUUUUAAAGAUCCAUAAGAACCUGGAGAAAACAGUUACUGCCUGAAGUGUUUUCCAUGUCUCUAAGAACGGUGAAGUCUUAAAAAGACAAAACAAACCCCUUUAUCGUGUAGAUAUUGAACUACAGAUUAAUCUAACGUGGACAUUACUAAUGUGCUUACAGCAGUUACUUGUCAGGUGGAAAUAAAGCUGUUGCGGUACUUGCAAAUUGCUUUUUGUUAAACACCCAUCUUUGGGUUGAUUUCCUUCUCACCCUGCUAUAGUCUUCUUGGGUACUGAGGUGAGGGGUUUUCUUGCAGUCUUUUAACCUUCAUUAUUGUUGGGAGAGUAUUUCUAGUUCCAGACACCAGUCAGGUAGUGAUUCUGCUUUUAUUUACCACACCAACAGUAACUAACUGACUUCACCUGACUUCAUUUAAUUGAAAUACUUCAUGAUGAAUAUAUUUGUUUCUUUGAGUAGAGCUGCCAUAUGUUUUUUUAAUAUCUUUAUAGUGACAUCAGUGUGGAGACAAGAAUUGAAUUUAUUUGUUGUCUCAGUAACUGGUAUUUAUUUGUGUCUCUCUCCCAUGUAAAUGGGAUUGGAUAAUUUUAUUGUUUUAAAAGCAAAUGCUUUAUGUUAAAACCCAGUGUAGAUCAAGAGUUAGCUAUCUAAGAAAUACAGUAUUUCUUUCCAGAACAGGCAGCUGAGCAGGUAAUGUAGCAGGCCAUAGAGUAGAUGAGCAAUCAGGUCAGAGAAUGUCUUUAAGAUCCCUGAUAUUUUCUUAAUUAAUACUGAGUUCAAGACAAAAUAAUUGGGCCUUUUAGCUCCCUAGAAAUAUGUUUCAAGCAGACAAUAAAUUUGUAAAUCCUCUGGAUGCACUGGAUUUCUUGCCCUGUCCCCCCUGCUUGCAGGUGGUUUUUCAUUUUUUUAACCCACUGAAUCAUUUCUCUCUCUAUACAUCUGGCUCUCAAGCAACAAGCUUUAGGGUCAGGGCCUGCAGACAGCGAUACACACACUGUUUGCCAAGACAGUUCUCCUACACUUUCUGCUUUAUUUGGUGUUCCCUGUUUGAUAUAUCUCACCUUUCCUGCUAUUACUGUCUCCUAUUACUGCUUUUGCUUCUCCUUCUUUCCACUGUGCAUCUGUUCACACACAGAGAUCCAGGAAAGGGUAAAAAAACAUUUUCUGCUCUUCAUAUUGAUGGUUGGAACUGGGAUUUAAAUUGUUUUUGAGGUCUAAUCUGAUUGAACACUCUGCACAUAGUUAAGAGCAGGUUCUUGUUUGAAAAGAUUGUUUGUGUGCAGCUGCAUAUUUUUAUUCUGCUUCAUUCUACUGUUCAAAUUAUAUCCUUUGGUAAGAUUAGUACAUUUAUAGAAAAGAAAGCAGAGAUUUUAUUGCUGAAGCAGAUAUUAAAAGACAUUAUAUUAAACCACU
This is a long non-coding RNA of Strigops habroptila (Kakapo), 1828 nucleotides long. NCBI's taxonomy places the organism in Eukaryota, Metazoa, Chordata, Aves, Psittaciformes, Psittacidae. The record is from Ensembl.